GAAAUGGCUGCUAAUACCGCAUAAGCGCACAGAGCUGCAUGGCUCGGUGUGAAAAACUCCGGUGGUAUAAGAUGGACCCGCGUUGGAUUAGCUUGUUGGUGGGGUAACGGCCCACCAAGGCGACGAUCCAUAGCCGGCCUGAGAGGGUGAACGGCCACAUUGGGACUGAGACACGGCCCAGACUCCUACGGGAGGCAGCAGUGGGGAAUAUUGCACAAUGGGGGAAACCCUGAUGCAGCAACGCCGCGUGAGUGAAGAAGUAUUUCGGUAUGUAAAGCUCUAUCAGCAGGGAAGAUAAUGACGGUACCUGACUAAGAAGCUCCGGCUAAAUACGUGCCAGCAGCCGCGGUAAUACGUAUGGAGCAAGCGUUAUCCGGAUUUACUGGGUGUAAAGGGUGCGUAGGUGGCAGUGCAAGUCAGAUGUGAAAGGCCGGGGCUCAACCCCGGAGCUGCAUUUGAAACUGCAUAGCUAGAGUACAGGAGAGGCAGGCGGAAUUCCUAGUGUAGCGGUGAAAUGCGUAGAUAUUAGGAGGAACACCAGUGGCGAAGGCGGCCUGCUGGACUGUUACUGACACUGAGGCACGAAAGCGUGGGGAGCAAACAGGAUUAGAUACCCUGGUAGUCCACGCCGUAAACGAUGAGUACUAGGUGUCGGGGCCGUAUAGGCUUCGGUGCCGCCGCUAACGCAGUAAGUAUUCCACCUGGGGAGUACGUUCGCAA
This 720-nucleotide ribosomal RNA is filed under the name uncultured bacterium. RNAcentral describes it as "bacterial SSU rRNA". It matches the Rfam family "Bacterial small subunit ribosomal RNA", at positions 153 to 891 of the family's 1533-position model. The record is from RNAcentral.